GAUGAACGCUGGCGGCGUGCCUAAUACAUGCAAGUCGAGCGAACAGACGAGGAGCUUGCUCCUCUGACGUUAGCGGCGGACGGGUGAGUAACACGUUGAUAACCUACCUAUAAGACUGGGAUAACUUCGGGAAACCGGAGCUAAUACCGGAUAAUAUAUUGAACCGCAUGGUUCAAUAGUGAAAGACGGUUUUGCUGUCACUUAUAGAUGGAUCCGCGCCGCAUUAGCUAGUUGGUAAGGUAACGGCUUACCAAGGCAACGAUGCGUAGCCGACCUGAGAGGGUGAUCGGCCACACUGGAACUGAGACACGGUCCAGACUCCUACGGGAGGCAGCAGUAGGGAAUCUUCCGCAAUGGGCGAAAGCUUGACGGAGCAACGCCGCGUGAGUGAUGAAGGUCUUCGGAUCGUAAAACUCUGUUAUUAGGGAAGAACAAAUGUGUAAGUAACUAUGCACGUCUUGACGGUACCUAAUCAGAAAGCCACGGCUAACUACGUG
RNAcentral lists this ribosomal RNA (497 nucleotides) under uncultured bacterium. RNAcentral's name for it is "partial 16S ribosomal RNA". It matches the Rfam family "Bacterial small subunit ribosomal RNA", at positions 28 to 507 of the family's 1533-position model. The record is from RNAcentral.